CCCACACCCAGGCCAAGUGUACCCUGUACCCGCAUCCUUCUCUGGUGAUGUCCCUCCCCAUCAUUAAAGGGGGAGGGAUGUCCCGCACAAUUGGCUAAUGGUAAUACUUGGGCGACACUAUGGCAGGGGUCAUUCCGCCAUUGGUCGUCUGUCACCCGCAUGUCAUGCCUGCUAAUGACAGACGCCUAGUGUGCACAGAAUUAACAUUAUCCAGUCUGAAACUCUUACUCCGGGCUGUCUCAUUACUCUGCUAGAGGUGGAGUUAAACAUCUGGCAGUGCUGGGCUGUAUCUCAUACUGAAUGCUGCAUAUACAGACUCCAAGCACAACAACAACUUAAAAUCAAUGAAGUGGUUAUGGUGCAUGGAGCAACACUUUAAAGGGACCAUUUCAAUAUUAAAUGGCUGACUCAGUUACUUACUGUAGGGCUGUAUAGAGCUGCCAAAUAAAAAUAUUCCAUUUUGGCAUAGGAUAUGCAGAAACAAAUUGUCAAGGCAUCCUAAUAGUAUUUAGUUCUCAAGGGGUUAAUUUUUCUUUAUUCUUCUGAGAAAUGAUUCAUGUAUUUUAGGAUCAUCCACACACUUGUUUUAUACUUUUCAAAGAGGAGCCAUUAAAAAUUUUUUACCCUUUUUUAUUUUUCUUUUCUUAAAAAAACCUACAAAAAAAAUACACUCCAUUCUAUUCUUGUAACAGAGUUUCUAAACUAGAGUAAGUGAUUUUCAGCAGCUUAAGAGUUUGGCAGACAUUCCGUCUUAAAUAUAUUUUUUUAAUGUAUUUAUUUCCUAGUGCGCUCUUAAAAUAACUUUUAUAAACUGGUAACUUCCACUCGCGCCGGUUUCAUAAUUAAUCAUGUUCACAACGUCGUACAUUUAGGUUACAUAUUAGUCUAUAAGUCUAAUCAUCCACUUUUCCUGUGGAAAUUGGUCAAAUCCUGGCUGUUUGAAGUAUUUGGAUGAAUCACAUAAUUUAUUUGAACAGAAAUCUCUUUUUUUUGUUCCUAGCGAUUUUUAUUAUUUUUUUAAACGCGUGUGAAGACAGCUUCAUAGGAAACAAUAAUAGUUUAAUCUGUUAAAAAAUGCCCUUCCUGGAUUGUGAGCCCUUUUUUUUAGGUCAUUGAAGCAAGCCAAAGGAAAUUAACCAUAGUUUAUGCCAAGAACACGUUGUAACAAGAAUCUAUUAGCUGAAGGCCCACAUCAUCUAUUAAAACAGAUCAUAAGAGACUACUUGUCUAUCUCUGUUUCCCUCAUAAAUGCUAUUUCCGGCUAUUUCCUUUUUAUGCCAAUCUCAGAAGAUGUCCUGCGAGAUAUUUAUUGGCAAAAUGUCUUCUCUGGCAGAGGCUUGCUAUAAACAUUGAAAUAAAACAUAAACACCUUCUUCUAGAUUGGUGUUGCUGGCAAAUGGGUGUAAUUCUGGUUAAUUUGAGUGAAUAAAUUAGCCUAAAUUAAGUUUUAAAAAACAACAAUGUCUUAAAGGGACACUCCAUGCACCAACACAAUUUGUAUGCACUUUUGCCUUCAGUAAAUAUUUGUAUUUUUGCAUGCCCAAUAUUAUAUAACCUUUGAAAAAAAAGUUUUGUUACUUUCUGCACCUGUCUCUUCUAUGUCACCACCCCUAUUCUAAAAUACUUAUUUUUUUUUACUGGUUAUUGUACUUUCAUAACUUACCUUACAUCUCCCUCGCUUUCUAUCUCUACCUCCUUGUCUUGCCAAGACUGUUGCUCAUGUCAUCAUGAAGAACAGUUAUGUUUAAUAUCAGGAAUAGACAAGCUUAGGAACUCCAGAUGUCGCAAACUGCAUCUCCCCUGGUGCUUUGCCAGCAAUGUGGCGGUUAGAACGCCAUGGGGGAUGUAGUCCACAUCUGGAGUUCCAAAUGUUGCCUACCUAUGCUUCUGAUAAACUGAACUACAAGUACCAGAAAUCUCUUCUCUGAGCAGGACAGAGGCGGUGCACAGAGAGUUUUGAAAUUUGCUCGUCAGCUUCUCCACAAUACAUGUUAUUAUUAGGCAGUGUGCCAGAUUUUUAGCUAUGAUUUUUUGCAUUUGUUGGCUAGUGAUUGUCACAUUUCUAAACAACCAGUGUCACUUCUGCACUUGAACUUUGCAAUAUAGGGUUAAACAUUUCCAGCAGUUCAGACUCCAUGGACCAGUAUGAUCAGUUCCUGAUGUUUCAAGCUUCAUCCUGGAGUGAUUAAAGCUGAAAAUUGUUUGAAUAAUGUGUGGUGAUUUGCGUAAAAUGAAGUUUUAAAGUGAGAAUUAAUUUUUUCUUAAUUUUGAAUUGGUAGAUUUUGCACAUCUUUAAGACAGUAUCUGUACCAGUGGCUGUUUUUAUAUUUUUAACUUUUUGCAGGGACAGACUCCAUUUUGUAUAAUAUCUUCCUACUGACUUGUAGGCAUUUUAAAUGGUAAAUGGGGGCAGGAGGUUAACCAUCAUCACAUACAAUGCUAUAUUCACCAAAUGCCAAUAGUAGGGAAAUGUGACAGAUAUUGCUGUAUUCAGCAUAUUAAAAAAUAAUUAUCUAGCUACAUUGCAUCCAAUAUAUACUAUUAUCACUUUGUGAAGCAGCUUGUAAAAGAACUCUUUAUGAGAAGUGUAAAACACAUAAAAUACAAAUAAAAGAAACAAAUAGUAAAAUGCCGUCCUUUCCAAGAUAAGUGGACAUUGUCUUGAUUUACAGUACAAAUGCUAACUGUGUCUUCAUCCCAUUAUGGCAUCACUAGCUGCAGUAAUGAAGUCCUCGUCGUAUCUCGUUGAAUGGAUGGUCUGGAUGGAAAUGAUAAUAACAUGUGUUAAUAGAGAGGAUGACCUUAAAUUAGGUUUGGUGGUGCUUCUGAAACAUUCCAUAAAUGGCAUCAUUCCAACAUUAAGUCAAAGCCACUUUGUUGUAUUAAUGAGCCUUUAGCUGUCCUCAGUAUAACCUUUUUUUAACCCAAGGAUGUGUCAUAAGAAGUAAAACGCCUUCUAAGGAUAACAUUAUAAGGAAAAUGUUAAGUUUCUCAUAUGACUUAGUGAGUGAUAGGGAUAGAUAGAUCACCUUUAAAGUCCCAAAAAAUAGUAUUUGUGACAAACUCCCCUUUCCAAGUGAGUUUGCCACGGGUUCCUGCCUACCCUCAGCAUGGAGUCUCAUCUCAUGUGUGGGGAGAACAGCUGUAUCUGCUCUGGGGAUUGCUAUGUCACUAUACUCCUCUGGGUUAUAAUCACUUGCUCUUGUAAGAGCAGCCUGCUACACUCACUGGAGUAGGAGGGGUCUGCCCACUGGAAGCUGGAUCCUGGUCUUGGGUCCAGGGUGAGGGAAGGACGGCGAGAUCCCAGCCAAGCUGUAACGCUGGAAGUGGGGACUACGGUGCUGAUGGUGUCUGGUGGAGUGCUUGGAAGUACUCGGAGGUACUAGGAAGCAGUGAUUGGCAGAGGCACCCAGUCAGGGUGCCAGGUGGUUACAGUAUUGAUAUGAAAAAUGCUUGAGCCUCUGUUUCAAAUGAAUAUUUAGAAGUGUCUAAAUGUCUAUGAAGAAUUGUUUUACUCACAAAAUAAUUUGGUAACUUUUUUAGUCGUCUAUGAAUAAUUAUUGGCACUGUGUUAGCAUGUUACCAAAUAAAAAUAAAAUAAGGAAACAUUGUAUAAGUGAUACCUUAAUUGGAUCAUGGAAGAAGGUUAUUGUGCAAGGUUUCACUAAGGUUCCUUCAUCAGGGUGGUUUGUUUGGUGCUCAGAUUCCUCCUUGGAUCAACAACCUGUUUACAUACCUAGCAAUUAUAUCCUUGAAUAUUCUGUUUCUGCAGAAAAGCAUCCAAACCUUUUAAAGAAAAAUCUGAUGAAACAAUCUAUUGCUAUAUAGCACAUACAAAACACAAUGACCCCCAUGCUAGUUCUGCAUCAAGUUCCCUGGGUAAUUCUUAAUGAGCUUACAUCUCAAAAUAUGCCACAGACUUGUUGUCUUUCAUCCUAUUUCUGUGGUCAGUAGAAAUAGUACUAUUAAGUUGGGUAAUAACAGUACCCCACCUGUACCCCAGAUCAUACUAAGAAACUUGUAGAUAUACCCUAUGAUGUAAGUUUGUGAUCUGGAUGUAACCCAUGGAAGGUCAGCAUAUUGCCAGUUUGUGAUCUGGAUGUAACCCAUGGAAGGUCAGCAUAUUGCCAGUUUGUGAUCUGCAUGUAACCCAUGGAAGGUCAGCAUAUUGCCAGUUUGUGAUCUGGAUGUAACCCAUGGAAGGUCAGCAUAUUGCCAGUUUGUGAUCUGGAUGUAACCCACGGAAGGUCAGCAUAUUGCCAGUUUGUGAUCUGGAUGUAACCCACGGAAGGUCAGCAUAUUGCCAGUUUGUGAUCUGGAUGUAACCCAUGGAAGGUCAGCAUAUUGCCAGUUUGUGAUCUGGAUGUAACCCAUGGAAGGUCAGCAUAUUGCCAGUUUGUGAUCUGGAUGUAACCCACGGAAGGUCAGCAUAUUGCCAGUUUGUGAUCUGGAUGUAACCCAUGGAAGGUGUGUAUAUUACCAGUUUGUGAUCUGGAUGUAACCCAUGGAAGGUCAGCAUAUUGCCAGUUUGUGAUCUGGAUGUAACCCAUGGAAGGUCAGCAUAUUGCCAGUUUGUGAUCUGGAUGUAACCCAUGGAAGGUCAGCAUAUUGCCAGUUUGUGAUCUGGAUGUAACCCAUGGAAGGUCAGCAUAUUGCCAGUUUGUGAUCUGGAUGUAACCCAUGGAAGGUCAGUAUAUUGCCAGUUUGUGAUCUGGAUGUAACCCAUGGAAGGUCAGCAUAUUGCCAGUUUGUGAUCUGGAUGUAACCCAUGGAAGGUCAGCAUAUUGCCAGUUUGUGAUCUGGAUGUAACCCACGGAAGGUCAGCAUAUUGCCAGUUUGGGAUCUGGAUGUAACCCAUAGAAGGUCAGCAUAUUGCCAGUUUGUGAUCUGGAUGUAACCCAUAGAAGGUCAGCAUAUUGCCAGUCUGGUAGUUCCUUGGUUUACCACACAGGAAAGGCUUUCAGAUCCAUCAUGUUCCACUUCCAUUGUUUGGUAGAUAAACCACUCAUCUGAUCCUGUGGCAGAAUUUAUCAGUAGAUGGCCUGAUAUAUGGUCAGAUAAACAGACAGGUGAAUAGACAAGCUAAUUUGCUUCCAAUUACCCCAGUACUUUUUCAUUGUCAUUCACAUUACUUUAUUCUUCAUAUUUAUGCUAUACAUCUGCUUAAAGAAAAGAUAAUGAUAUACAGAUAUACUCAUAAUGUAUACAUUACACACAGCAUCAGAGCAUACAUAUUACAGAGAAUUCUUUGUAUUGUCGCCUCUACGUAACAUAGUACAUACCUGUCUUAUGCUGUUGGCUUGGUGUAUUUUG
Pelobates cultripes (western spadefoot toad) is the source of this 5313-nucleotide non-coding RNA. NCBI's taxonomy places the organism in Eukaryota, Metazoa, Chordata, Amphibia, Anura, Pelobatidae. The record is from the annotation of a GenBank genome assembly.